This 236-nucleotide ribosomal RNA is filed under the name Clostridioides difficile. RNAcentral describes it as "partial 16S ribosomal RNA". It matches the Rfam family "Bacterial small subunit ribosomal RNA", at positions 1307 to 1533 of the family's 1533-position model. Lineage: Bacteria; Bacillati; Bacillota; Clostridia; Peptostreptococcales; Peptostreptococcaceae. The record is from RNAcentral.
GAAGCUCGCCUACAUGAAGCUGGAGUUACUAGUAAUCGCAGAUCAGAAUGCUGCGGUGAAUGCGUUCCCGGGUCUUGUACACACCGCCCGUCACACCACGGGAGUUGGAGACGCCCGAAGCCGAUUAUCUAACCUUUUGGAAGAAGUCGUCGAAGGUGGAAUCAAUAACUGGGGUGAAGUCGUAACAAGGUAGCCGUAUCGGAAGGUGCGGCUGGAUCACCUCCUUUCUAAGGAGA